Long non-coding RNA from Octopus bimaculoides (California two-spot octopus), 649 nucleotides. RefSeq lists it as uncharacterized. Lineage: Eukaryota; Metazoa; Mollusca; Cephalopoda; Octopoda; Octopodidae. The record is from RefSeq and is a predicted model, not a curated record.
UUUGGGGCGGGGUGUCAAGUGGAUUACAUCAACCCCAGUUGAUGUAAUCCACUUGAUUAUUUCAUCGAUCCCGAAAGGAUGAAAGGCAAAGUCGACCUCGGUGGAAUUUGAACUCAGAACGUAAAGACGGACGAAAUGCCGCCAGGCAUUUUGCCCGGCGUGCUAACGCUUCUGCCAGCACACCUCCUUAAUUUAUUAAGUAUAUUAACAUCAAUUAUUGAGUAAAGACUUCAAGAUCAAGAUUUAUAAAUAUUAUUAAGAACUUCAAUGAAAUUUAAAGUCGAAGUUGGUGUUUUUAAAUCAGUUGAAGCAUUAGAGAUUCUAUACGCAUUAAUCUGUGCUUAUCUCCGUGCUUUACUGAUUUAGAUGCAGGACACAUGCUGAAAGUUGGGGAGAAAACCCAAGAAAACGACAUCGGUGUGGGAGAUUGAGUCUGCAGUAAUUCUGAAGUUGAUGGUGGUGACGAUGACAACGACGACGACGAUAACAUUGACAAUGUUGAUGGCUGCCGAGAAGAGGAGAUUCUGAUCGUUAGAUUUACUUGAAAUGAUGUCGAUUGAGACUUGCAUUUCUAACAGAGAAAGAGAAAGAGGAGAAGAAGAUAAAAACCAUUUUAUAACAUUCCACCUAAAAUAAAGAAAAUACUGUA